GCCAGCUGUGAUCCUGGCAGCUCUCCCAGGCUUACCCUGCCUCGGGCUUGGUCCAUGCUUGGAUGGGAGACCUCAAAGGAAAACCCAGGAUAGGGUGGUU
RNAcentral lists this ribosomal RNA (100 nucleotides) under Gopherus agassizii (Agassiz's desert tortoise). Lineage: Eukaryota; Metazoa; Chordata; Testudines; Testudinidae. The record is from RNAcentral.